RNAcentral lists this ribosomal RNA (336 nucleotides) under Triticum aestivum (bread wheat). RNAcentral describes it as "partial small subunit ribosomal RNA". The record is from RNAcentral. Lineage: Eukaryota; Viridiplantae; Streptophyta; Magnoliopsida; Poales; Poaceae.
AUGGUUGUUGUGUGGGUGUUGCUUGCUGCCGGAAUGUUGGUGGUGGUGGUGCGGCCGGUUGGGGUCGACGGUGGUUUCUGUUGCUGUUGUCCUGCUUCCUUUGUGUUCGUCUUCGUUGGUGUUCCCUGGUGUCGGCCAUGUUGCUGUGCAUGUUCAAGUACCUCCCUUGGUGGCCAUUGUGUUGCGGUGAGCUUAGUGCUCUUGGUGUUGUUCUGGUUCAUCUUUGCUCUUCGACGGCGCAAGAUGCCUCCCCAACUUGCUAAUCGUUUCGAAUUCUCAUGGCGGAGCUCCCAGUCAAGGUUCGUGUUAUCACUCGUUGGUUGUGGUUGCUCCUGA